Molecule: ribosomal RNA, 492 nt
Filed under: uncultured bacterium
Lineage: Bacteria
Description: partial 16S ribosomal RNA
Rfam family: Bacterial small subunit ribosomal RNA
Source: RNAcentral
AGUGAACGCUGGCGGUAUGCCUAACACAUGCAAGUCGAACGGCAACACAGUACGAGCUUGCUCUUACGGGUGGCGAGUGGCGUACGGGUGAGGAAUACACCGAAAUCUACUUUUUCGUGGAGGAUAACGUAGGGUAACUUACGCUAAUACCUCAUACGAACUACGGGUGAAAGCAGGGGAUCUUCUGACCUUGCGCGAUUGAAUGAGCCGAUGUCGGAUUAGCUAGUUGGCGGGGUAAAGGCCCACCAAGGCGACGAUCCGUAGCUGGUCGGAGAGGAUGAUCAGCCACACUGGAACUGAGACACGGUCCAGACUCCUACGGGAGGCAGCAGUGGGGAAUAUUGGACAAUGGGCGCAAGCCUGAUCCAGCCAUACCGCGUGGGUGAAGAAGGCCUUCGGGUUGUAAAGCCCUUUUGUUGGGAAAGAAAAGCAGCAGGUUAAUACCCCGCUGUUCUGACGGUACCCAAAGAAUAAGCACCGGCUAACUUCGUG